RNAcentral lists this ribosomal RNA (429 nucleotides) under Chloroflexota bacterium. RNAcentral's name for it is "Chloroflexi bacterium partial 16S ribosomal RNA". It matches the Rfam family "Bacterial small subunit ribosomal RNA", at positions 355 to 776 of the family's 1533-position model. Lineage: Bacteria; Bacillati; Chloroflexota. The record is from RNAcentral.
UGGGGAAUAUUGCACAAUGGGCGCAAGCCUGAUGCAGCCAUGCCGCGUGUAUGAAGAAGGCCUUCGGGUUGUAAAGUACUUUCAGCGGGGAGGAAGGGAGUAAAGUUAAUACCUUUGCUCAUUGACGUUACCCGCAGAAGAAGCACCGGCUAACUCCGUGCCAGCAGCCGCGGUAAUACGGAGGGUGCAAGUGUUAAUCGGAAUUACUGGGCGUAAAGCGCACGCAGGCGGUUUGUUAAGUCAGAUGUGAAAUCCCCGGGCUCAACCUGGGAACUGCAUCUGAUACUGGCAAGCUUGAGUCUCGUAGAGGGGGGUAGAAUUCCAGGUGUAGCGGUGAAAUGCGUAGAGAUCUGGAGGAAUACCGGUGGCGAAGGCGGCCCCCUGGACGAAGACUGACGCUCAGGUGCGAAAGCGUGGGGAGCAAACAGG